GUUUCGUCCGCUCCUCCUCCCCGUACUCCCGAUGGCGGCGGCGUCUCCGGCGAGCGGCGCGCACCUCUACUCGUGCGAGACGGCGGCGCAGACCCGCGAGUGGAUGGACGCCAUCGCCUCCUUCCUCGGCCGCCACCGCCCGCUCCUCGAGGCGCACGUCGUCAACUUCUUCAAGGAUAGGCUGUGGGAGAUGGUGGACGCCGAGUGGAUGGAGUGCCUCCGCGGGGAGCCAGUUGAGAGCCUGCUCAAACUGCCAUCCGGUUGCGUCCAGGACCACUGGCCAAGUUCACUACAGGAAUUUAUACUCACUGCGAGGUCACUUGCUCUUUCGCGUGAUCAGAAGUCGCCACAAUCGUUUCUACCUAAUUUACGCGUAGCAUCAAUUGGUACUGUCCUUGCUCAAGGCAUGAACACAAAGAAGAAGCAUGAAAUUGAAACUUUAGGUGCCAUUGUUGAUGCAAUUGCUAGGAGCUGUGGUGCCAAGACAGUGGUUGAUGUAGGUUCUGGUCAGGGUUAUCUUGCACAAGCUUUAUCUUUUGAGUAUCAACUCCCUGUUGUCGCAAUAGAUGCUUCAUCACAUCAUGCAUCUGUUACAAAUACUCGUGCAGAGAGGAUAAAGAAGCACUAUGCUGCUAAAUGUGUGGAGAAGCAACAGUUUAGAGUGCCUAGAACUGUCACUUGUCAUGUUCUUUCCAGUGCCACAUUGGCAGCUGUUACGCUGGACGCAUGCCAGGAUGUUCAUGGUGAACAUGUAACAGAAACUUACUGUACUGGAAUUAGCCCUCAAAUUGAGAACCCAAACCACAGCAUUCCUCAAUUAGUCCUUGCUGGUCUUCAUGCCUGUGGUGAUCUUUCAGUUAACAUGCUAAGGGUUUUUGUGUCCUGUGAACAAGUACAGGCAUUGGUCAGCGUCGGCUGCUGUUACAACUUGUUGUCCGAGGAUUGUCAUGAGGAUAGAGACACCUGUCCUGGUUUUCCUAUUAGCAACGCUGCUAAAUCAUCUAAAUUAGUGCUUGGGAAAAGCAUCCGUGACCUUGCUUGCCAGAGUGCAGAGAGGUGGAGGAAUCUUACCAAGGAAAUGGCCCUAGAAAAUUUUGAUGUGCAUGCUUUCCGAGCGGCUUUUCAAAUGGUACUUGAGAAAUACUUCCCAGAAGUGUCAAGAUUGAGUCCAUCAAUUGGAAGGCAAGGAAAAGCUCUGCGCCGCCAAAGGCUUCGGAAAGUUAUGGAAUCCCAUAUGGCUAUGGGAAAAAACGAUGAUUUACCCUAUUCUAAUUCCAAGGAACAAAAUAUGACCAUGGAUAGUUCAUUGCCCACAGAACCAACUGAUCUUGAAGGCGCUGUCGGAUGUUGUAGCCACCAACUUUGUACAGGUGAUACUUACUCAACUUCAGAAGUCGUCGAUUCAUCCAUAUCCAGAGUUAACGUGGGACCAACUGGCAUUUAUCUUGAUGAAUGCGACAAGUUCACUCUUUUCAAAGAUUUCACAGUCUCUGGAUUAGCUCGUCUUGACUGUGGUUUUGUGGAAGAUGUUCAUCUACUCGAAAUAUGGAAGGCCGUGCAACGCUUCGCCGAGUUCAUAGGCCCCUUUUGGUGCCUUCGGGCUGCUUUAGGUCCACUGGUGGAAACAUAUAUUUUACUUGAUCGGUUACUGUUUCUUCAAGAACAAGGCGGUGCAGUUGAAGCAUUGUUGUUUCCUCUGUUUGAUCCCACUAUGUCUCCAAGGAAUAUGGCAGUAGUUGCUUGGAAGUUAAUGGGGGAUUCUUUAAAAGCAUGACACAGGAACGCUUCUCCUGCCCGAAUACUUAGGUUUAUGGAAUGGUGUGUUGGUGCUGAAAAGUAAGAGGGUCUUUUCCUGUGGUGAAACUAGUUCUUUCUCUAGAUCCAGAGGCAAUCAUGAUCCGUAUGGGCUAGUCAAUGGCCAUGGGAAGAAGCUAUAGCUUCUGUGUAGUGAGUUAUUGGAGGACAUGUAGCUGUUUUUUUGUCCACCAACUGACAUGUGGCCUGCUGCAGCAUGCAGAUACGUAGGCCGAAUGACUAAUCAUUUUGGUGAGAGACAAAUAAGCAUUAUGCGCUGUAAGUUGCCUAACCACACUGAUCAUAUGUCGACCAAGUUACGUGUCGUGUCAUAAAGUAUCAAAUCCUGUUGGAUCCUUGAUGUGAUGCUACCAACAUGGAGGCGAUGAAGACUAGUGCAAGAGGUUGACUUGCGUUUAUUAAGCACGUGCUUCCACAUGAUCCAGUCAGUAUGUUUGUGGUUUCAGGUUUGUCGUUGCUUAUCCAUACGUGUCCGUGUAUGCGUGUGUCUGGCAUGUGUGCAUUUUCAGUCCUUUCAGUGAAUUGACUUUACUGUUCUUUCUUUGUCUGUGUUCUUUAAUGUCCUUUUUAUGUUCUUGAAUUCUUUGUACUGCACCCUGGAAUGUAUAGGUUUCAAAACUCUUCUGCCGCAAGAUUAACAACUCCAAAAGAUUUGGCUUGGUUAAUUGUUACCCCCCUUGGAAAAAAAGAUCUUGCUUACUAUUUUGUAUGUCAUGUUGACCAGUCCUUUUAUCAUAGUAAUUUGGGACCAAUCAUAGGGUGAUAGUUCAGAGAAAGUGAUGCAAAGAGCAGGAUUCAAAAUAAUCUGGUAGAUGGAUAACAUCUUUGUGGAACCUUAAGCAGUCGUGUCGUGGUAGCUCAAUAGGAACAAGCAGUCGUGUCAUUCUAUGGAUGAGAAUUUACAUUGGAACUCGACUGAACCUUGCGCUGGCCUGCCGUGAAGUCGAGUUACAGUUGAUUAGUUUGGCUGCAUUACAACUGCAAUAAUUGGCUGAUUUUACUUCCAUGUGGCAUAUUCAAGCUUCCCCUUACCAGAAUUUGUUCGCCCAUGAACGUGAGAACGACGGUGCAUGUACUUCCGAGCAAAGCAUCGGCAUCGACAAAGCCACUGAGAGCCGUCGCGAGUCUUCCGUCCCCAAAUCCUUAUCCAGAUUUGUACACCCGGAGGUACCCAGCAAGGCCACAGGUCAAUUCCCUCCACUUUUCACCGAUGCAGCCAUCAUCCGAAAGGUAAUGACAGACACAUCACUUGGACGAUCUGACCUGGGAGCUCACCACGCCCUCUUUGUUCUGCUGUCCGUGUUGUUCUAAUUCCAGCCGGCCAGUGAGCCACGGUGAGAUCUUGGACAUCACGGUAACGUGGACUGCUCAGCGAAAGGCGUCGCGCACCUGUCGCGACCUGAUUGAUCGAUCGGUUUAUUAUGGUAAGCUUAAAAAGUGAUUGGGGUUAGAGCCGGGUGCAUCCCAGCAGCAGCAGGCGUGCGAUGUUAGGCCGUGCGGCCGUGUGCACGUCGGAGGAGAGAGAGGUAUGUGGUUGAUGAGCUUUGCUGCCGUUGCUGUUACUGCCGUUGCUGUCAUUGCCCAUCUCCGGGUCUCUUUCGCUUGGUAGAGCAGAGCAUAGAUGCCUCCAUUACUACCAGGACAGCUGCUAAGCCAAGCAGGAGCUUAAUUGUUGGCAUUUUCCUUUCUCGUGAUUUGGAUUCGUGGGAUAUUAACGUUUCUCCAUUUGUGUGCUUGACUUUUCUCCCAAGGCAGGCAACCAAGAGCUUUCUGCUGGAACCAUGUCACAGGCUUCACUAAUUGGUCCGUUGCCUUUAGAUGCUCUGAUCAUCAUACAACAAGAUCUUAUAAGAGGAAUCUGUUACUGCUAGGAAGGGAAAUACACAUUUUCCGGUGCGUCGACCACGUCGCGAUCGGUGUAUCUACGCGGUCCGUUUCCGGCACUGGACGGACCUGAUUGCUUUGGCACUAUGUGAGGAAAAUUCUGGCAGGGAAAGGAGGGUGUGGGAAGGGAGGCCGGUCAUGAGGUUUGUGUGUGUGUGAUAGAUAUAUGUUGGUGCGGCGCCGCGUGCAUGCUCCCUGGCUGCGCGUAACCGAAUGUGUCCCAAUGGGCAAUUCUUCCUCUUCUCUAAUAUCUCCGCCUACGUUCAUUGCUAUCACCAGCAUACCAGCUGCAUUUAAAUCUGAUUUACGUGACAUUGCGUAAUCGCAGGGUCUUUAAAAUCCGUUUGUCUGAACCGGCCCUCUGUCGUGUCGCCGCGGCGAUCCCAAAGAUGGUGAGGCGCGAAGGUUCUUCAUCCCCUGCCUUGCGUGAUUUCAUUUCAACGAAUUUAGAGUCUUCUUUUAACUUGGCCUACCACGUCCCCGGCCCCCUGGUCAAGUGUCGAAGCCGGAGUUUUAAUUACUUAAUCUAUGCAGGCAGUGUGCCGAAGAUGUGGACCAAACAGCUAAGCUGAUUUUAACUAGCUUCAACACAGAAGGUUUUCGUUUGACAUUGCGAUGGACAUAAUAUAAAAUAUAGCUGUAGCCUGUAGGGAGAACGUGCAGUCUCCCCAACUUUAAUUUGAUUUCUUGCUAUCCUGCUUGAUUUUCCACAAAUAUGUACUGGUAUCAAAAGAAUAAAAUGUAACACCAUAGCUUUGAAAAUAAACGCAAACACAAAUUGGUUGA
Molecule: RNA transcript, 4485 nt
Organism: Brachypodium distachyon (stiff brome)
Lineage: Eukaryota; Viridiplantae; Streptophyta; Magnoliopsida; Poales; Poaceae
Gene name: protein RRNAD1
Exons: 14
Source: RefSeq, a predicted model, not a curated record